This 468-nucleotide ribosomal RNA is filed under the name uncultured bacterium. RNAcentral's name for it is "partial 16S ribosomal RNA". It matches the Rfam family "Bacterial small subunit ribosomal RNA", at positions 28 to 507 of the family's 1533-position model. The record is from RNAcentral.
GACGAACGCUGGCGGCGUGCUUAACACAUGCAAGUCGAACGGAAAGGCCCUGCUUUUGUGGGGUGCUCGAGUGGCGAACGGGUGAGUAACACGUGAGUAACCUGCCCUUGGCUUUGGGAUAACUUCAGGCAACUGGUGAUAAUACCGGAUAGGAGCUCCUGAUGCAUGGGGGGGGUUGGAAAGUUUCUGCGGUUGUGGAUGGAGUCGGGGCUUAUGAGUUUGUUGGUGGGGGAGUGUCUUACCAGGGCUUUGACUGAUGGCCGGCCUGAGAGGGUGACCGGCCACAUUGGGACUGAGAUACGGACCAGACUCCUACGGGAGGCAGCAGGGGGGAAUAUUGCACAAUGGGCGGAAGCCUGAUGAAGCAACCCCGCGUGCGGGAUGACGGCCUUCGGGUUGUAAACCGCUUUCGCCUGUGACGAAGCGUUAGUGACGGUAAUGGGUAAAGAAGCACCGGCUAACUACGUG